RNAcentral lists this ribosomal RNA (471 nucleotides) under uncultured organism. RNAcentral describes it as "partial 16S ribosomal RNA". It matches the Rfam family "Bacterial small subunit ribosomal RNA", at positions 334 to 797 of the family's 1533-position model. The record is from RNAcentral.
CACUCCUGCGGGAGGCAGCAGUGGGGAAUAUUGCACAAUGGGCGCAAGCCUGAUGCAGCCAUGCCGCGUGUAUGAAGAAGGCCUUCGGGUUGUAAAGUACUUUCAGCGGGGAGGAAGGCGAUAAGGUUAAUAACCUUGUCGAUUGACGUUACCCGCAGAAGAAGCACCGGCUAACUCCGUGCCAGCAGCCGCGGUAAUACGGAGGGUGCAAGCGUUAAUCGGAAUUACUGGGCGUAAAGCGCACGCAGGCGGUCUGUCAAGUCGGAUGUGAAAUCCCCGGGCUCAACCUGGGAACUGCAUUCGAAACUGGCAGGCUAGAGUCUUGUAGAGUGGGGUAGAAUUCCAGGUGUAGCGGUGAAAUGCGUAGAGAUCUGGAGGAAUACCGGUGGCGAAGGCGGCCCCCUGGACAAAGACUGACGCUCAGGUGCGAAAGCGUGGGGAGCAAACAGGAUUAGAAACCCCAGUAGUCCC